RNA transcript from Brassica rapa (field mustard), 1852 nucleotides. It is a transcript of the gene named transmembrane protein 87A, with no coding region annotated. NCBI's taxonomy places the organism in Eukaryota, Viridiplantae, Streptophyta, Magnoliopsida, Brassicales, Brassicaceae. The record is from RefSeq and is a predicted model, not a curated record.
UUUUGGUAAUAAAGUGAAUCUGUUUGACAAAAAAAAAAAAAUAAAGUGAAUCUUCGAUCAGCUCCGUACCCAAAAUUCCUCCUCCCUUGCCCGAUCGAGAAUCUUCGAUCACCAAUUUCCAUGGAAAAUCACUCAACGGGAUUCUGGGCGGCUUGGAUUCUGCUCCUCAUCGGAGCUUCCAAUGCCUCGAUCCACGACUACAAGACCGAAAAGUUCAUCCCACAAGCCAAUUCUCGAUUCUUCCAUGGCGGCAGCGAAGGUCUCUACGCCUCCAACUCUCAAGACCUAAACACUUCCUCUUCUUCUUCCGAUAUAUCUCUUAAAGGAAAGUCCUUUGUAAGGUUUGCUGACGUAACCUUCGUGAGGACGAUGGAAUCCGCUAGCAAACAGAACCCAAUGCAGUCCACCGCAGGUCUGGUCGAAGCGAUACUACUCGAGGUGAAAGACCGUGAUCGAAUCGGCGGAUCUUUUCUCAAGAGCAAUGCUAUUUGCUGCACUCCUGAUCUUGCUGAUGCUGGCUCUUGCACUCUCGGCGAAGUUAUUAUCAAAAGAGAUUCUAAUGAUGAUAAGUGGCCGAGACAGAUCAAGACUUUCUUUAAAGGGAACAAGACGGAAGCUGCUAUGCUUCCGGAGACCGUGGUGAUAAACAAAACAGGGAUGUACUAUCUUUACUUCGUGAUAUGCGACCCGGGGCUGGACGGGACUGUGAUCAGAGGGAGAACGGUUUGGAAGAAUCCCGACGGUUAUUUACCGGGAAAAGUGGCUCCUCUGAUGAAGUUUUUCGGAUUCAUGUCUUUGGCUUAUCUCUUGCUCGGCCUCGUUUGGUUUCUGAGGUUUGUUAAGUUCUGGAAGGAUAUCAUUCAGCUGCACUAUCAUAUCACUUUGGUUAUCGCUCUUGGGAUGUGUGAGAUGGCUGUUAGGUACUUUGAGUACGCUAAUUUUGAUUCUACUGGGAUGAGACCGAUGGAUGUUACUCUGUGGGCGGUGACGUUUGCUUCCAUUAAGAAGACGCUUUCGAGGCUUCUUCUUUUGGUUGUCUCUAUGGGUUUUGGGGUGGUGAAGCCUACGCUUGGUGGGAUGAGCUCGAGGGUGCUUCUUCUUGGAGUCGUAUAUUUUGUUGCAACGGAGGCUCUUGAGUUGGUUGAGCAUUUGGGAAACAUUAACGACUUUUCUGGAAAGACAUUGAUAUAUUUGGUGAUUCCAGUGGCGAUAUUGGAUGCUUGCUUUAUUCUGUGGAUUUUCUCAUCAUUGGCAAGAACCCUUGAGAAACUUCAGAUUAAGAGAAACAUGGCUAAGCUUGAGCUUUAUAGGAAUUUCACCAAUUCACUCGCUGUCUCUGUUCUGGUCUCUAUUGCUUGGAUUGGUUUUGAGCUUUACUUCAACGCAAGUGACCCUUUAAGCGAACUCUGGCGAAUGGCGUGGAUCAUUCCAGCGUUUUGGAAUCUACUAUCUUAUGGCCUAUUAGCAGUCAUAUGCAUCCUUUGGGCUCCAUCGAACAAUCCUACCAGGUAUUCAUACUUAGCAGAAACAGGGGACGAGUUUGAAGAGGAAGGUAUAUCGUUGACGAGUGGUGGAAUUAAGAUUACAGGCGAUGUUGAAAGGAAUGAGCUUCUGUACGGGCUUGCAGACGAGGUUGAGGAGGACAAACGUGAGUAAACAUCAGGUAGUAAGUAGCCUAUAUCUAAUGAGUCUUUGCAUCCUAGUUUGUAACCUUUAUGUAAAUCCUUAAACCUUUGUGCCUGAGUAAGUUGUUUUAUGACCCUUAAGGACUCUUAUUUACUCACAUCAAAGUUCUUGUUGUCUUACUUGUUUACUAUAAGGACAAAAGUUCCAUCGAAUAUCUUCUGCUAUA